This 440-nucleotide ribosomal RNA is filed under the name uncultured bacterium. RNAcentral's name for it is "partial 16S ribosomal RNA". It matches the Rfam family "Bacterial small subunit ribosomal RNA", at positions 338 to 795 of the family's 1533-position model. The record is from RNAcentral.
CCUACGGGUGGCUGCAGUGGGGGAUAUUGCACAAUGGGGGGAACCCUGAUGCAGCGACGCAGCGUGGGUGAAGGAGCGUUUCGGCGCGUAAAGCCCUAUCGGCCGGGAAGAAGAUGACGGUACCUGACCAAGACGCCCCGGCUAACUACGUGCCAGCAGCCGCGGUAAUACGGAGGGGGCAGGCGUUAGCCGGAUUUACUGGGUUUAAGGGGGGCGCAGACGGCAAUGCAGGCCGUGGGUGAAAGCCCGGGGCCAACCCCCGGAACUGCCCUUGGAACUGCCUGGCUGGAGUACAGGAGGGGCAGGCGGAAUGCGUAGUGUAGCGGUGAAAUGCAUAGAUAUUAGGCGGAACACCGGUUGCGAAGGCGGCCUGCUGGACCGUGACUGACGCUGAGGCACGAAGGCGUGGGUAGCAAACAGGAUUAGAUACCCGAGUAGUC